This 408-nucleotide ribosomal RNA is filed under the name uncultured bacterium. RNAcentral's name for it is "partial 16S ribosomal RNA". It matches the Rfam family "Bacterial small subunit ribosomal RNA", at positions 28 to 526 of the family's 1533-position model. The record is from RNAcentral.
GACGAACGCUGGCGGCGUGCUUAACCCAUGCAAGUCGAACGAAGUGGCGAACGGGUGAGUAAUACGUGAGUAACCUGCCCUCCGUUUUGGGAUAAGCCUUGGAAACGGUGUCUAAUACCGAAUAAAGGGGGAUGGGCUCGAGGCCUAUCAGCUUGUUGGUGGGGUGAGGGCAUACCAAGGCGGUGCCGGGUAGCCGGCCGGAGAGGGUGACCGGCCACAUUGGGACUGAGAUACGGCCCAGACUCCUACGGGAGGCAGCAGUGGGGGAUAUUGCACAAUGGGCGAAAGCCUGAUGCAGCCAUGCCGCGUGUGUGAAGAAGGUCUUCGGAUUGUAAAGCACUUUAAGUUGGGAGGACUUACCAACAGAAUAAGCACCGGCUAACUUCGUGCCAGCAGCCGCGGUAAUAC